This is a long non-coding RNA of Symphalangus syndactylus (siamang), 1981 nucleotides long. RefSeq lists it as uncharacterized. The record is from RefSeq and is a predicted model, not a curated record. NCBI's taxonomy places the organism in Eukaryota, Metazoa, Chordata, Mammalia, Primates, Hylobatidae.
ACUGAGGCGAAUGUGCUAUCCAACAGGUCCACAGCAAGUGUAUCACUGGCUUUGUUCAAAGUGUUCCUGGAUGCUGCAAAUGAAAGAGGAUGAUAACUCUCCACCUCUUGCCCAUCCUUUGGGAAAGACUUCAGCAUGAUGGUGAAGUGAGGACUCAGACUAAGCAUCAGCCAUUGCUUAAACCCAGCGCUGUAAUGAACCACUGCAAGAGAAUUUUAUAAAUAUAAAUGCGCACUGAUGACAAUCGAACUGAUAACCCUUUAUAGUUCAUGCUACCAUUUCAUGCACACUUUUUCAAGUAUACUGUGAUGACUUAAACUAAAGUAAAUGUCCAUCUGGCUUAAAGAAUUUUAAGACAUUCUAAUGAUGUCAGAAUAUCUAGCUGAACAGUAUGAAAUCUGGGGCAAUGGACAUCUCCAUUCUGUCUUGGAAAAUGAACACCACGGUCCCUUGGCAUUCAUGGAGAAUUGGUUCCAGGACCCAUGAAGAUACUGAAAUCUGCAGAUGCUCAAGUUCUUUAGUUGGCUCUUAUUAUUCACCAAUUUUGAUUCAGAACCUGCAGAUACAGGGGGCCAACUGUAUCCCGAAGAAGGCUUGUAUGGGAAAGACAAAGCCCCUAUAUUUUAUAAUUCCAUUCAAGUUUCACACCUACGAAAAUAAUAAUGGACAAUGAGUUUAAUGUCCUUGAAAUACCUGCUAAAUUGUAAUCUUCUACUGGUGAAUUGGUAUCUCUCUUUAAAUCUUAAUGAUGUCCGGUUGUAUUAGGCUGUUCUUGCAUUAUUAUAAAGAAAUACCUGAGACUGGGUAAUUUAUAAAGAAAAGAGAUUUCAUUGGCUCACAGUUCUGCAGGCUUGAAAGGAAGCAGUGCUGGCAUUAGUUCAGCUUCUGGCAAAGCCUCAGGGAGCUUGCAAUCAAAGUGGAAGGUGAAGCCAUAGCAGGUACUUUACAUGGCAAAAGGAGGAACAAGUGAGAGAGUGUGUAGGGGGAGAUGCCACACACUUUCAAAUGACCAGAUUGUCAGAACUCACUAUCUUCAAGAUCCAGAGUUCUGGAUCACAAAGACACCACCAAGCCAUGAGGGAUCUGCGCCCAUGAUCCAAACAUCUCCCACGAGGCCUCACCUCCAGCACUGAGGAUUAUAAUUCAACAUGAGAUAUAAAGGGGACAAAUACCCAAACAAUAUCGCUGGGAGUGAGAUCAUGAUGCUGGGGUCUACAAGGAGAAUGCAAGAUAUAGGAAAACUCCCUAUCAAAUAGGACGAAUAAGUAAAAUAAAAGCCCAAUCUUGCCAGCAUGAGGCAUAGCAGGAAGAAAAGAAGCAAAGGUAGAGAGUGCAAGUGCAUCUAGAUAUGCAGACAACUCUCCUCCUCUGCCCCCUUCCUGUCAUGGAGUCACAUCCCAAGAGGGGAUGAUAACUUAAAACUUACAGUCAUAGGGGACCUCAGGAACACUGGGACAAGUGCCAGCAUGCUAUUUGAGACUCCAGGUCUCUAGGACAUCGUCAGCCUUUGGAACCAAGCCAAUUCCCCAUGAUGCAGGAUCAGUAGCACAGAGGCAGCCCUGGGAAGAGGCCAGAUGGGUGAACCAGAGGCUGAAGUGAGACUGGUUAAAGCAGAGGUGACUGAUAUCUUGUUAACUGGCAACUCGAAGUAUUCAGGAGAGAAGGGGCUCAUAAAGGAGGCUCAGAUCAAUUACAGAAUACAAAGACACACAUUGUCCCAGCAUGCUAGUAUGGUUUGAGUACAUUUGUGACCCCACUACUAAUCUACAGGGAGUGGCACAUGGGGAAACCCAUGUCGGAAGAGAUGGGAGAAAUCAACCUGUCACUGCAACUCCUACCCUGCACCAGGAGAUCUGAGUCCUGAGAAUUCUCCCAACCUGUCUGUGUGACUCUCUCACACUGUAAUAUUCUACCCUGUAACUCCAUGCUUAGGUCUUUCUCCCAUAUCAGCAUGAAUCCAAUAAAUUGUAACAAUGCCCUG